Molecule: ribosomal RNA, 496 nt
Filed under: uncultured bacterium
Lineage: Bacteria
Description: partial 16S ribosomal RNA
Rfam family: Bacterial small subunit ribosomal RNA
Source: RNAcentral
AUGAACGCUGGCGGCGUGCCUAAUACAUGCAAGUCGAGCGAACGGACGAGAAGCUUGCUUCUCUGAUGUUAGCGGCGGACGGGUGAGUAACACGUGGAUAACCUACCUAUAAGACUGGGAUAACUUCGGGAAACCGGAGCUAAUACCGGAUAAUAUUUUGAACCGCAUGGUUCAAAAGUGAAAGACGGUCUUGCUGUCACUUAUAGAUGGAUCCGCGCUGCAUUAGCUAGUUGGUAAGGUAACGGCUUACCAAGGCAACGAUGCAUAGCCGACCUGAGAGGUUGAUCGGCCUCACUGGAACUGAGACACGGUCCAGACUCCUACGGGAGGCAGCAGUAGGGAAUCUUCCGCAAUGGGCGAAAGCAUGACGGAGUAACGCCGCGUGAGUGAUGAAGGUCUUCGGAUCGUAAAACUCUGUUAUUAGGGAAGAACAUAUGUGUAAGUAACUGUGCACAUCUUGACGGUACCUAAUCAGAAAGCCACGGCUAACUACGUG